CCAUAGCUGGUUUGAGAGGAUGAUCAGCCACACUGGGACUGAGACACGGCCCAGACUCCUACGGGAGGCAGCAGUGGGGAAUCUUAGACAAUGGGCGCAAGCCUGAUCUAGCCAUGCCGCGUGAUCGAUGAAGGCCUCAGCGUUGUAAAGCUCUUUUGG
This 159-nucleotide ribosomal RNA is filed under the name Aeromonas salmonicida subsp. salmonicida 01-B526. RNAcentral describes it as "partial 16S ribosomal RNA". It matches the Rfam family "Bacterial small subunit ribosomal RNA", at positions 281 to 439 of the family's 1533-position model. The record is from RNAcentral. Lineage: Bacteria; Pseudomonadati; Pseudomonadota; Gammaproteobacteria; Aeromonadales; Aeromonadaceae.